AACGUAGGACGCAAGCGUUAUCCGGAGUUACUGGGCGUAAAGCGCGGGCAGGCGGUCUUGCCAGUCUGAUGGGAAAUCUCUCAGCUCAACUGGGAGCAGCCAUUGGAAACUACAAGACUGGAGUCUGGCAGAGGUAGGCGGAAUUCCGGGUGGAGUGGUGAAAUGCGUAGAGAUCCGGAGGAACACCAGAGGCGAAGGCGGCCUACUGGGCCAGUACUGACGCUGAGCCGCGAAAGCCAGGGGAGCGAACGGG
Molecule: ribosomal RNA, 253 nt
Filed under: uncultured bacterium
Lineage: Bacteria
Description: partial 16S ribosomal RNA
Rfam family: Bacterial small subunit ribosomal RNA
Source: RNAcentral